GGGUUGUGAGGUUAAGCGACUAAGCGUACACGGUGGAUGCCCUGGCAGUCAGAGGCGAUGAAGGACGUGCUAAUCUGCGAUAAGCGUCGGUAAGGUGAUAUGAACCGUUAUAACCGGCGAUUUCCGAAUGGGGAAACCCAGUGUGAUUCGUCACACUAUCAUUAACUGAAUCCAUAGGUUAAUGAGGCGAACCGGGGGAACUGAAACAUCUAAGUACCCCGAGGAAAAGAAAUCAACCGAGAUUCCCCCAGUAGCGGCGAGCGAACGGGGAGCAGCCCAGAGCCUGAAUCAGUGUGUGUGUUAGUGGAAGCGUCUGGAAAGGCGUGCGAUACAGGGUGACAGCCCCGUACACAAAAAUGCACAUGCUGUGAGCUCGAUGAGUAGGGCGGGACACGUGGUAUCCUGUCUGAAUAUGGGGGGACCAUCCUCCAAGGCUAAAUACUCCUGACUGACCGAUAGUGAACCAGUACCGUGAGGGAAAGGCGAAAAGAACCCCGGCGAGGGGAGUGAAAAAGAACCUGAAACCGUGUACGUACAAGCAGUGGGAGCACGCUUAGGCGUGUGACUGCGUACCUUUUGUAUAAUGGGUCAGCGACUUAUAUUCUGUAGCAAGGUUAACCGAAUAGGGGAGCCGAAGGGAAACCGAGUCUUAACUGGGCGUUAAGUUGCAGGGUAUAGACCCGAAACCCGGUGAUCUAGCCAUGGGCAGGUUGAAGGUUGGGUAACACUAACUGGAGGACCGAACCGACUAAUGUUGAAAAAUUAGCGGAUGACUUGUGGCUGGGGGUGAAAGGCCAAUCAAACCGGGAGAUAGCUGGUUCUCCCCGAAAGCUAUUUAGGUAGCGCCUCGUGAAUUCAUCUCCGGGGGUAGAGCACUGUUUCGGCAAGGGGGUCAUCCCGACUUACCAACCCGAUGCAAACUGCGAAUACCGGAGAAUGUUAUCACGGGAGACACACGGCGGGUGCUAACGUCCGUCGUGAAGAGGGAAACAACCCAGACCGCCAGCUAAGGUCCCAAAGUCAUGGUUAAGUGGGAAACGAUGUGGGAAGGCCCAGACAGCCAGGAUGUUGGCUUAGAAGCAGCCAUCAUUUAAAGAAAGCGUAAUAGCUCACUGGUCGAGUCGGCCUGCGCGGAAGAUGUAACGGGGCUAAACCAUGCACCGAAGCUGCGGCAGCGACACUGUGUGUUGUUGGGUAGGGGAGCGUUCUGUAAGCCUGCGAAGGUGUGCUGUGAGGCAUGCUGGAGGUAUCAGAAGUGCGAAUGCUGACAUAAGUAACGAUAAAGCGGGUGAAAAGCCCGCUCGCCGGAAGACCAAGGGUUCCUGUCCAACGUUAAUCGGGGCAGGGUGAGUCGACCCCUAAGGCGAGGCCGAAAGGCGUAGUCGAUGGGAAACAGGUUAAUAUUCCUGUACUUGGUGUUACUGCGAAGGGGGGACGGAGAAGGCUAUGUUGGCCGGGCGACGGUUGUCCCGGUUUAAGCGUGUAGGCUGGUUUUCCAGGCAAAUCCGGAAAAUCAAGGCUGAGGCGUGAUGACGAGGCACUACGGUGCUGAAGCAACAAAUGCCCUGCUUCCAGGAAAAGCCUCUAAGCAUCAGGUAACAUCAAAUCGUACCCCAAACCGACACAGGUGGUCAGGUAGAGAAUACCAAGGCGCUUGAGAGAACUCGGGUGAAGGAACUAGGCAAAAUGGUGCCGUAACUUCGGGAGAAGGCACGCUGAUAUGUAGGUGAAGUCCCUCGCGGAUGGAGCUGAAAUCAGUCGAAGAUACCAGCUGGCUGCAACUGUUUAUUAAAAACACAGCACUGUGCAAACACGAAAGUGGACGUAUACGGUGUGACGCCUGCCCGGUGCCGGAAGGUUAAUUGAUGGGGUCAGCGCAAGCGAAGCUCUUGAUCGAAGCCCCGGUAAACGGCGGCCGUAACUAUAACGGUCCUAAGGUAGCGAAAUUCCUUGUCGGGUAAGUUCCGACCUGCACGAAUGGCGUAAUGAUGGCCAGGCUGUCUCCACCCGAGACUCAGUGAAAUUGAACUCGCUGUGAAGAUGCAGUGUACCCGCGGCAAGACGGAAAGACCCCGUGAACCUUUACUAUAGCUUGACACUGAACAUUGAGCCUUGAUGUGUAGGAUAGGUGGGAGGCUUUGAAGUGUGGACGCCAGUCUGCAUGGAGCCGGCCUUGAAAUACCACCCUUUAAUGUUUGAUGUUCUAACGUUGACCCGUGAUCCGGGUUGCGGACAGUGUCUGGUGGGUAGUUUGACUGGGGCGGUCUCCUCCUAAAGAGUAACGGAGGAGCACGAAGGUUGGCUAAUCCUGGUCGGACAUCAGGAGGUUAGUGCAAUGGCAUAAGCCAGCUUGACUGCGAGCGUGACGGCGCGAGCAGGUGCGAAAGCAGGUCAUAGUGAUCCGGUGGUUCUGAAUGGAAGGGCCAUCGCUCAACGGAUAAAAGGUACUCCGGGGAUAACAGGCUGAUACCGCCCAAGAGUUCAUAUCGACGGCGGUGUUUGGCACCUCGAUGUCGGCUCAUCACAUCCUGGGGCUGAAGUAGGUCCCAAGGGUAUGGCUGUUCGCCAUUUAAAGUGGUACGCGAGCUGGGUUUAGAACGUCGUGAGACAGUUCGGUCCCUAUCUGCCGUGGGCGCUGGAGAACUGAGGGGGGCUGCUCCUAGUACGAGAGGACCGGAGUGGACGCAUCACUGGUGUUCGGGUUGUCAUGCCAAUGGCACUGCCCGGUAGCUAAAUGCGGAAGAGAUAAGUGCUGAAAGCAUCUAAGCACGAAACUUGCCCCGAGAUGAGUUCUCCCUGACUCCUUGAGAGUCCUGAAGGAACGUUGAAGACGACGACGUUGAUAGGCCGGGUGUGUAAGCGCAGCGAUGCGUUGAGCUAACCGGUACUAAUGAACCGUGAGGCUUAACCUUACAACGCCGAAGCUGUU
This 2929-nucleotide ribosomal RNA is filed under the name Escherichia coli. RNAcentral's name for it is "23S ribosomal RNA". It matches the Rfam family "Bacterial large subunit ribosomal RNA". The record is from RNAcentral. Lineage: Bacteria; Pseudomonadati; Pseudomonadota; Gammaproteobacteria; Enterobacterales; Enterobacteriaceae.